GAUAGACUUACUCUCAUUCUUUGUAUCUCUUGUUCCACCCAUUCAUUUUGCUCCUCCUUAGGAACCCUUUGAACUCCUGCUGGACGGGCAUCUUGGCGUCCAAUGUGAACCUGAGGCACGGGGAUCGGAUUGAACGUCGUUCUUUGUGGGCACCCCCUACAUAGGAUCUCAUGUUUCCACAGGAGAAAGGAAAGAAGAUCCUGCAUUGAGAUCUCCACAGAGCCACCUGUCUGUGAGUCUGAUCCACUGAGGAAAAUGAUGCAGCUUGAUGGCUACUGGAACACCUGGUGUGACAAGUGGAUGAGGAGUUUUCUCCUGACAAUGAUAAUGAUGUCAAUGAAGACCCUUCCAGUCAAGAUAACUGCUCAUGUGCUGCCCUCAAGGAAGAAUGUUGUUUUUACAUGGACUGUUCUGGGGUUGUGAAAGACUGCAUGGCUAAAGUUAGAGAGGGCUUAGAAAGGAGAAAAAGAAAGAAAGAACAAGAGGAAAGUUGGUUUCAUAAUUGGUUUUCAACCUCUCCCUGGCUCACCAUUCUCCUCCCUUCAAUCUUGGGACCCAUGGUGGGCUUCCUUCUUCUCAUAUCUUUCGGCCCAUGGGGCAUCAAAAGACUUACUAGCUUUGUAAAACAGCAAAUUGACUCCCUGGCAUCUAAACCCAUCUGAGUUCAUUAUCACAGACUUGAUUUGGCUGACCAAGGCCUAGCUGAGCCCAAGGAAGCCUGGUAACAGUCCAUCACAUGGCUCUUAAUUUUUUGCAUUUGGCUCUCAUGAGAACAGCAUGAAACUCAGAUAAAUGCUUGCCUGAUGGGGCAUGGGCAGCACAUGGGGGUAGGAUGAGGUACCGCAGGGAAAGGACCCAAUUGUCCACUUCUGAGCCCCCGAGAAGCAAAUCUGAUUGCAUAGAGGUUGGUGUCUGAUUAUCCCUAACCACAACCUGCUGGGGAUGCCCUCAGGUGUUGAUGGGGUCUUCCUCUCCUCCCCAAAAAGACACCCAAAAAGGCUGUAAAACACCUUGGGAAGAUCAGGUCUCUACUUCCCCACUCUGGUUAAUGCCCACUGUCUUCAAAAGACCUCAUGUUCAUAACCUACCUGCUAGCCUCUUAAAUUGUUUGAGAAGGGAGGAGAUGAUGGGAGCCAAAGCCAGCUAGUGGAAAGUUACAUAUAGCUGCAACAAGGUCAUGGGUGAGAGAUUUAUGUUUCCAGAACUUAUGAGACUAGAUAGGCUAGUCAUUUUGAGAUAUAUUAGCUGACAUUCUUGUAGUAUCUCUUUUAGUAAACAUUCUUGUGGUAUUCUGCAUCAUCAAACACUCUGUUAUCUUUCGUAUUGUAAACUACUUGCUGACACAUUUUCCCUUUCUGCCUUCUCCCUAUAAAGUUGUGUGAAAAUUUUCAAAUAAACGAGAGCUAGAUCAGGUGAUGAUAGACUUGCUCUCAUUCUUUGUGUCUCUUGUUCCACCCACUCAUUUCGCCCCUCCUUAGGAACCUGUUGAACUCCUGCUGGACGGGGCAUUCUGUACAGCAAAGGGCACCAUCGUUGGAGCACAGCUGCAGCCUACAAAAUAGGAAAAGAUCUAUGCAUCUGAUAGAGGCUACAGCUCUUGGUUGUCUACAGCUCUUCAUCUAUGGAUGGAACUCUGGGCAAUUCCCCCUGUCCGUGUUGUCCUGGUGAGUGCUGCUAUAAUUAUGCAGGUCUUGUUUAGGCAACCACCUUGUCCUGACUUCAUGGAUAGCACCUCCCUGUCAUGUCCAAAAUACACUUUCUCACACUGAAGGCAUCUUGAUCCUCUGGGACAUACCAUUUAUCCACCUUGACUUCUGGAGUAUCCUCUGUGCAUUAGGUAGGAGUCGUUUGGCAGAUGUACCAAUCGGGUUGGGUGCCCUACCGCCACUAAUUAUCUGCCUUUUGACCAGUUAUGGAUCUCUGUAUUAGUGCUCCUCUCUGCACAAAGAAGCUUCCUCAAUGAGGAGUGAGGGUCACACUUAUCUGUGGAUGUAAGGGUAAGGAUGUAAGGUAAGUAUUCAGAAUGCGAUUGGAAAUUAGAUUGGUUUGGGAAUCCGACAGUUGUAGGCUCUCCUGUAGGAUCUAUGACCUCUCCAGCCACAGGUAGUUGGCUAAGUUUAGAAUGCCAAGCAUGAGUUCAUUCCUAUUUCACUCCUAUUGAGCACAUCUUAAAUCUAAGUAAAUAGCUGUUGGUUACUCCACACACACACACACACACACACACACACACACACACACACAUGAGAUGUGAGCGAUAGUACAGAUGACACUAUUGAAGGUAUCUUGCCAGGCUAGCCAUUUGUAGGCUUUAUGGAUGGGCAGGACUACUGAUGGCAAAGCUCCUUCUGAUACUAUGAAAGCUAGUCCUCAAGAAGGAAGCUCUAGGUAAGUUCUAGCUUGACUCCCACAAGUCCUUGCCCAAAGCAUGUGGUAUCUUCAGCAAUAAGGUCUUACCUUUAAAUUCUAGGAGGCAACCAAAGGCAGCGUCAAUAGGCUGUAUUGUUUCGAGAGUCUCUUGGACUCUGUCUUAGUUAGGGUUCUAUUGCUGCGAUGAAACACUAAGACCAAAAAGCAAGUUGGAGAGGAAAGGGUUUGUUUGGGUUACACUUCCAGAUCAUAGUCCAUCUUUAGAGGAAGUCAGGAUAGGAACUCCAACAGGGGUGGAACCUGGAGGCAGGAGCUGAUGCGGAGGUCAUGAAAGGUUGCUGCUUACGGGCUUGCUGACCCUUGCUUUCUCAGCCUGCUUUCUUUUUUAUUUUAAUUUUUAUUAAUUACACUUUAUUCACUUUGUAUCCCCCCAUAAACCCCUCUCUCUAACCCUCCUAAUCCCACAUUUCCUCCCCCUUCUCCAUGCAUGCCCCUCCCCAAGUCCAAUGAUAGAGGAGGUCUUCCUCUCCUUCCUUCUGAUCUUAGUCUAUCAAAUCUCAUUAGGAGUGGCUGCAUUGCCAUCUUCUGUGGCCUGGUAAGGCUGCUCUCUCCUCAGGGGGAAAAGAUCAAAGAGCAGGCCAAUCAGUUCAUGUCAGAGGCAGUCCCUCUUCCCAUUACUAUGGAACCCUCUUGGACACUGAACUGCCAUGGGCUACAUCUGUGCAGGGGUUCUAGGUUAUCUCCAUGCAUGGUACUUGGUUGGAGUAUGAGUCUCUGGAAAGACCCCUGUGUUCAAAUUUUUUGGUUCUGUUGCUCUCCUUGUGGAGCUCCUGUAGCAGCUUUAUUUGUAAUAGCCAGAAGCUGGAAACAACCCAGAUGCCCCUCAACUGAAGAAUGGUUACAGAAAUUGUGGUACAUCUACACAAUGGAAUACUACUCAGCAAUGAAAAACAAGGAAAUCAUGAAAUUUGCAGGGGGUCACAGCUAAGGUAUUUCCUUAAGUCCCAGAAGAAACUUUGAGCAUUGGACUUUUAAACAGUGUUGAGACUGUGAUAGACUAUGGGGACUUUUGAAGUUGGACUAAUUAUGUGUUUUUGUUUUUUUUUUUUAAUUAUGAUAUGGCUACAAGCCUGUGGGGGAUAAAGAGUGGAAUGUGGAGUUUAUUUCCAUUUAUAAGAGUUGCCGUGUUCCUGAUGCUUCUUCACAGCAAUGGAACAUUGACUAAGACAAAGAACAUUCCAAUUCUUACACCUACAUUUAUUAAGGCAGCACUCCCUUCCUCCAGAACAUUUUUCCUUCACAUUCUCAAGGAAUAUUCAAAAUUAACUUUCUUUUUUUUUUCCUCCAUUGUUAUUUAACAUUUCUACAUAGAAUAAAAGUCAGUAUUCUUACAGCAGGUAGAAAGAAGAUGUCCGAAGUGCAGCCAUGUGUGCUGGCUUUUUUUUUUUUUUUGGUCAGCUUGACCCAAAGCAGAAUUGUUUGGGAAAGGAGGUCCUCAGCUGAGAAGAUCCCCCACCAGAUUAGCCAGCGGGCAAGACUCUGGAGAUUUUCUUGAUUGAUGAUUGAUGUGAGAGAGCCCAGCUCACUGUGGACAGUGAAAGCCCUACACUUUUGGUCCCAAAUGCUGUGAGAAUGCCUGCUGAGCAAGCCAGUAAACAGUGUUCCUGUGUGACCUCCAAUUCAGUUUCUGCCUCUGAGUUCCUGAUGUGAAUUCCUCUCCUGACUCUCCUUCACGAUGUACUAUGAUUGGGACAUGGAAGCUGAAAUAAACUUUCCUCCCCAA
Meriones unguiculatus (Mongolian gerbil) is the source of this 4150-nucleotide long non-coding RNA. RefSeq lists it as uncharacterized. The transcript is spliced from 4 exons. Lineage: Eukaryota; Metazoa; Chordata; Mammalia; Rodentia; Muridae. The record is from RefSeq and is a predicted model, not a curated record.